RNAcentral lists this transfer RNA (109 nucleotides) under Blumeria graminis f. sp. tritici. It matches the Rfam family "tRNA". Rfam says of the family: Transfer RNA (tRNA) molecules are approximately 80 nucleotides in length. Their secondary structure includes four short double-helical elements and three loops (D, anti-codon, and T loops). The record is from Rfam by way of RNAcentral. RNAcentral also lists the same sequence under 1 other name. Lineage: Eukaryota; Fungi; Ascomycota; Leotiomycetes; Helotiales; Erysiphaceae.
GGCUAGAUGGCCGAGCGGUUAUGGCGUGUGACUCAAGAUUCUCCUUAUCCGCAGAAAAUGUGGAAUUCUCAUGGGGAAACCCGCGGGGGUUCGAAUCCCCCUCUAGUCA